GCUGGUUUGGCUCAGUGGAUAGAGCAUCAGUUUGUGGACUGAAGGGAACUGGGUUUGAUUCCAGUCAAGGGCA
Molecule: transfer RNA, 73 nt
Filed under: Myotis lucifugus (little brown bat)
Lineage: Eukaryota; Metazoa; Chordata; Mammalia; Chiroptera; Vespertilionidae
Rfam family: tRNA
About the family: Transfer RNA (tRNA) molecules are approximately 80 nucleotides in length. Their secondary structure includes four short double-helical elements and three loops (D, anti-codon, and T loops).
Source: Rfam by way of RNAcentral